Molecule: ribosomal RNA, 530 nt
Filed under: uncultured bacterium
Lineage: Bacteria
Description: bacterial SSU rRNA
Rfam family: Bacterial small subunit ribosomal RNA
Source: RNAcentral
UAGUCCUAGCCGUAAACGAUGUUCAUUAGGUGUGGGAGGUAUCGACCCCUUCCGCGCCGAAGCUAACGCAUUAAAUGAACCGCCUGGGGAGUACGGCCGCAAGGUUGAAACUCAAAGGAAUUGACGGGGGCCCGCACAAGCAGUGGAGUAUGUGGUUUAAUUCGACGCAACGCGAAGAACCUUACCUGGGCUUGAACCGUUGGUAGUAAAAUCCCGAAAGGGAGAUGACCCGCAAGGGAGCCAAUAGAGGUGCUGCAUGGUUGUCGUCAGCUCGUGUCGUGAGAUGUUGGGUUAAGUCCCGCAACGAGCGCAACCCUUAUCCUAUGUUGCCACCCCCGCAAGGGGAGCACUCUUAGGAGACUGCCACGGAUAACGUGGAGGAAGGUGGGGACGACGUCAAAUCAUCAUGGCCCUUAUGUCCAGGGCUACACACGUACUACAAUGGCUAGAACAGAGGGAAGCAAGCCCGCAAGGUGGAGCAAACCCCCAAACUAGCCCCAGUUCAGAUUGUGGGCUGCAACUCGCCCACA